RNAcentral lists this ribosomal RNA (253 nucleotides) under uncultured bacterium. Its description in RNAcentral is "partial 16S ribosomal RNA". The stretch from base 27 to 253 matches the Rfam family "Bacterial small subunit ribosomal RNA", at positions 550 to 776 of the family's 1533-position model. The record is from RNAcentral.
UACCAGCACCCCGAGUGGUCGGGACGUUUAUUGGGCGUAAAGGGCUCGUAGGCGGUUUGUCACGUCGGGAGUGAAAUCCACUGGCUUAACUGGUGGCUUGCUUUCGAUACGGGCAGACUGGAGGUAUGCAGGGGAGAACGGAAUUCCUGGUGUAGCGGUGAAAUGCGCAGAUAUCAGGAGGAACACCGGUGGCGAAGGCGGUUCUCUGGGCAUUACCUGACGCUGAGGAGCGAAAGUGUGGGGAGCGAACAGG